RNAcentral lists this long non-coding RNA (1314 nucleotides) under Sus scrofa (pig). RNAcentral's name for it is "lncRNA (ENSSSCG00060049270.1)". Lineage: Eukaryota; Metazoa; Chordata; Mammalia; Artiodactyla; Suidae. The record is from RNAcentral.
GGCGAGCACCACAAUUAGCAGACCUGUUACAGAGGGUUGGAGAAAUUUGUCUGAAGUCACACAGCCAACAGAUGGUGGAAUCAAGACUCAAACCAGGUCUUCUGACUCUAGUAGCUAUGCUUGAUAAAUAGCUAUAACUUUUAACAAAAGGGACAGUGGGGGACAUGUGAGUAUGGGGGUGUGGGUGUGAUGGGUUGAUGGCCGAAAGCUUUCUGGGACCCUGCUACUCAUGCUAGAUUUUCUGGUCCUGAUUAGCUGCUCCAUGGCUGCCAGGAGCUGUUAUUAUCACUCACUCCUAUGCCCUUGUCACUGGGCCUGUGGGGACCUGCCCUUCCUUCCUGCUCUUGGCCCUGUGAUGUUGACAGCUGUACUGGGAAAUCACAUGCUGGCUGCUGCCACAAUUACCAGACACAGACUGUAAGUGCCUCCCUGGACGUCCUGCCACCCUGUCUCAUGCCGGCCCCUACACAGGUGCUCAGGCCACGGCUUUGCUCCAUCUGUUUUACUUCUGUGUGGUAUGAAAAAGCCCAAAGUUUGUUGAAGAAGGAGAAAUGCGCCGAGAGAAUAAAAACAAUGAUGAUCAGAACAAUAAAAAUCAAUAAGCAACAUUUUCAAUGUGUUUUGCAAUCACCAAACACCAGACUCACUGCCUGGCCUCCAGUGUCUUGGAAGACGAGUUCUGUGACUCACUGUAAACCACACGAUAGGACUCAACUCCCAGACUCUGGCUUCAAACUCUAUCUUCUAAAAAUGCCUUCUAAAGAAAAGAUUUCUGUCUCAUCAGUCAGCUCAUCUGGCAUUUGAAAACCUCAAGCAGAAAUUCCCCAGGUCAGCAUUAUGCAUUCUCCAAGACCAAGCUUCUUCAAACAGAAACCAAAAACAAUGAAAACUAAAUACCAAUGGCUUCUGGCUUCUCUUCAGCGAUAACAAGUCUUCAUUCUUUUUCUCUGUUCCAUGUGAAAAGUUAUACCCCCAAAGGGGAGCUGUGGGCUUUCCAAUGGUGGAGCAGAGAUGGGGGCUUAGGGAACGAAACCUUCAGAAAUAACCUUCUCCUUCCUCCCUCUACCCACAUUGAGAACAUAUUCAUUUCACUGAAUUUAAAGUCAAUGAGACCAUAAAGGACCAGUUCUGUAUUUUGUUUUCUUAUGCUGCUGCUUCUAGAGCAAAACUAAAUAAGUGACACAUCAACCCUUUAAGGAUCUUGUUUCCAACGAGAGAACCGAGGAUACACGUUCUGAGGACAUUGGUUUAUUCAAGAUGAUGUGACAACUUUAGAAAAAAAAAAUCCCCUUAAUAAAAGAGGUUUAUAGGCCA